Molecule: ribosomal RNA, 491 nt
Filed under: uncultured bacterium
Lineage: Bacteria
Description: partial 16S ribosomal RNA
Rfam family: Bacterial small subunit ribosomal RNA
Source: RNAcentral
GAUGAACGCUGGCUACAGGCUUAACACAUGCAAGUCGAGGGGAAACGACGGGGAAGCUUGCUUCCCCGGGCGUCGACCGGCGCACGGGUGAGUAACGCGUAUCCAACCUGCCUCUGACUGAGGGAUAACCCGUCGAAAGUCGGCCUAAUACCUCAUGGCAUCGUCUGCGGGCAUCCAACGACGAUUAAAGAUUUCAUCGGUCAGAGAUGGGGUUGCGUCUGAUUAGCUUGUUGGCGGGGUAACGGCCCACCAAGGCGACGAUCAGUAGGGGUUCUGAGAGGAAGGUCCCCCACAUUGGAACUGAGACACGGUCCAAACUCAUACGGGAGGCAGCAGUGAGGAAUAUUGGUCAAUGGGCGAGAGCCUGAACCAGCCAAGUAGCGUGCAGGAAGACGGCCCUAUGGGUUGUAAACUGCUUUUAUGCGGGGAUAAAGUGAGGGACGUGUCCUUCAUUGCAGGUACCGCAUGAAUAAGGACCGGCUAAUUCCGUG